Molecule: ribosomal RNA, 404 nt
Filed under: uncultured Treponema sp.
Lineage: Bacteria; Pseudomonadati; Spirochaetota; Spirochaetia; Treponematales; Treponemataceae
Description: bacterial SSU rRNA
Rfam family: Bacterial small subunit ribosomal RNA
Source: RNAcentral
CCUACGGGGGGCAGCAGUGGGGAAUAUUGCACAAUGGGCGCAAGCCUGAUGCAGCGACGCCGCGUGAGGGAUGGAGGCCUUCGGGUUGUGAACCUCUUUCGCCCGUGGUCAAGCCGCGACGUGGGUCGUGGUGAGGGUAGUGGGUAAAGAAGCGCCGGCUAACUACGUGCCAGCAGCCGCGGUAAUACGUAGGGCGCGAGCGUUGUCCGGAAUUAUUGGGCGUAAAGGGCUUGUAGGCGGCUGGUCGCGUCUGCCGUGAAAUCCUCUGGCUCAACUGGGGGCGUGCGGUGGGUACGGGCUGGCUUGAGUGCGGUAGGGGAGGCUGGAACUCCUGGUGUAGCGGUGGAAUGCGCAGAUAUCAGGAAGAACACCGGUGGCGAAGGCGGGUCUCUGGGCCGUUACUG